RNAcentral lists this long non-coding RNA (315 nucleotides) under dengue virus type 1. RNAcentral describes it as "dengue virus type I partial sfRNA1". The stretch from base 233 to 304 matches the Rfam family "Flavivirus DB element". Lineage: Riboviria; Orthornavirae; Kitrinoviricota; Flasuviricetes; Amarillovirales; Flaviviridae. The record is from RNAcentral.
AAGAAGUCAGGCCGGUUUAAGCCAUAGUACGGUAAGAGCUAUGCUGCCUGUGAGCCCCGUCCAAGGACGUAAAAUGAAGUCAGGCCGAAAGCCACGGCUUGAGCAAACCGUGCUGCCUGUGGCUCCAUCGUGGGGAUGUAAAAACCCGGGAGGCUGCAACCCAUGGAAGCUGUACGCAUGGGGUAGCAGACUAGUGGUUAGAGGAGACCCCUCCCAAGAUACAACGCAGCAGCGGGGCCCAACACCAGGGGAAGCUGUACCCUGGUGGUAAGGACUAGAGGUUAGAGGAGACCCCCCGCACAACAAUAAACAGCA